CAGCUGGGAUAUGGACCUCCCUGAAACUCGUCCACUCCUCAUGCAAAACAGCUUAUAGUCAAGCAUGGAUAAUGGAGCUCUUGCUGGAAGAUCAGUUGGUUCCAGAAUCUGUGGUCUACUCGUUGAUGGGAUGGUCGGCUUGAUUUACACUUCUGAAAGUGAUAGUGUUGGCUGACAGUCAGAUGUGAAACCUGGGUUUUCUAACUAGAAUCUUGAAAGACCUUGGGAUGGUGCCAUCAAGACAGCCUUCAAUCAACUCUCAGAAUCUAAUGGAAAAACCAUCAUACAAUCCCAGUGUCUCCCCAUAACCCCUGACAUAGCUGUAAUGAGAACAUGAUAUCAAAACAUCACCGUAAGCACAUGUUGGAUGGUUGCCUCCUGAAACAACCUCUCUAUUCCAAGUUCAGUCGAGGCCAAAGAAAUUGCAGAGGUCAAAGGAAACAUUGUGAGGACACCAUCAAAGCAAGUCUGAAGAAAUUUGGGAUUGACACUGAAAGUUUGGGAAAGUCACACGUUAAGAAGUUUAGAAGACAUCGGAGCAGAAUUCGGCCCAUUGAGUCUGCUCUGCCAUUCGAUCAUGGCUGAUUAAUUUUUCCCUCUCAACCCCAGUGGCCUGUCUUUUCCCUGUAACCAUUGAUGCCCUUACUAAUGACGAACCUAUCAGCCACUCUAUAAAGCAGUGAGGAAACCAUUUUGGUGGUAUUGUUGUUAUGAGGAAUCCUUUUCACCUUGAGCCACUUUGCCUCUCAAACAGAAAGUAAAUAAGGAAAGAGGAAACAAAGGGAAAAGGAACGAGAACCAAUAUGGCCAUGUUUUCCCUUCACCAAUAUGUGCUUAUGAUGUUAUUGCCUGAAGGAGUGGGGUCAGAAGCUACCACAAGACUAAAAUCUCCCCAGACUCGAGGUACGGCCAACAUGAGAGAACAUACAUUUUCUGCAAAUUUGGCCAAGAAGAAUACUCACAUUGUGCAUGUACAUUACUCACUGUAAGUUAACAACAAUGAAUUCAAUAUAAAGUGUAGUACAUUUAUAUGUACUUGGGGACCACAAAUAAACUGUGAAUUUAUAUCAGCGGUUCAGUGACUGAAUAUCAAGUCAAUGAGAUUAUGAAAAGGAUUAUAAAUGGUUUGGGACAGGGUAACAUCCUGUUUCAGUACUUUCACAUUUCUGAACUUGCCACCUGGACCAUAACCUUGUGCUUGAAAGCUGUCAUUUUGCAGGAAAUGUCUUGAAAAUAGUGAAGAACCAGAUUUAAAAGUGAAUUAAACAAAAAUGCUUCAACCAACAUCACCUCCAGGUAAAGGGAGAUUACAGAGAGAAAGUUAUUUAUUGGUUCAUAUAACUAUGAUAUAUUUAUGUAUAAUGUUAUACCAUUGCAUAAUUUGAUAUGUAAAUUAGCAGGAUAUAUACAUACAUUUUAUAUAUUACACCAGUACAUUCUAUUGUUGC
Amblyraja radiata (thorny skate) is the source of this 1448-nucleotide long non-coding RNA. RefSeq lists it as uncharacterized. The record is from RefSeq and is a predicted model, not a curated record. NCBI's taxonomy places the organism in Eukaryota, Metazoa, Chordata, Chondrichthyes, Rajiformes, Rajidae. The transcript has 3 exons.